RNAcentral lists this non-coding RNA (859 nucleotides) under Dictyocaulus viviparus (bovine lungworm). RNAcentral describes it as "Eukaryotic small subunit ribosomal RNA". It matches the Rfam family "Eukaryotic small subunit ribosomal RNA", at positions 1 to 1080 of the family's 1831-position model. Lineage: Eukaryota; Metazoa; Nematoda; Chromadorea; Rhabditida; Metastrongylidae. The record is from Rfam by way of RNAcentral.
UGCCUCAUUGGUUUUGUCAGCGCUAUAUGUUCAGCUAAAAGACUAAGCUAUGCCUAUCGAGUUCAACUUUGGACUUCAAUAACUGCUAAAGGCUCAUCAUAGGUGAUGAAAUUUCUUAGGAAUUGUUUCGAUGAAUUACUGCGGUAAUUUUGGAGUUAAUACAUUCAACAAAAGUUUUUGUUUUGUUCUACGAAUUCACAGAAUUGGUAUAACGCAUAUUCCAAAUGACUGCUCUGUUAACAUCAUGGUCCAUUAGUCUACUAUGGUUAUUCCGGCUAACGGAGAAUAAGGGUUCGACUCCGGAGAGAGAGCCUUAGAAACGCUAUCACAUCGAAAGAAGACAGCAGUCGCAAACUUAUCCAAUCUUGGGGAGGUGAGAUAGUGACUAGAAAUAAGAGUGGAAGCACGUUUGCUGCCAGUAACCUUGGUAAUUCCAACUCCACUAAUGUAAAUCGUUACUGCUGCGGUUAAAAAGCUCGUAGUUGGAUAUGAGUUACAUGUAAUGGUUCGCCUUUGGCGUUAAUCGUGUGUGUAUUCCGGUUUUCUACCAGAGUUUCAACCUUUCUAGUCACUAGUGAGUUUGCCUUGAAUAAAUUAGAAUGCUCAAAACAAGGGCUUGCUGAAAUCGCUGAUCAUGAAAUAAUAGAAGAUGACAUCGAUUCUAUUAAUCAAUUUAAAAAAUGGAAUGAAUGGUUAAGAGGGAUAUUCGUAUUCCUGUGCGACGAGAGAAGAAAUUCGUGAACGUAAACUAUGCCAUCUAGCAAUUCGAUGGGGUACUAUUGAUUGGUAUUCGAUUGCCAAACGAAUUCAUUACCUUCUCAUAGACAUCAUAAGACAUAAGCUUUGAUGUUGAUCUAUC